Vidua chalybeata is the source of this 575-nucleotide long non-coding RNA. RefSeq lists it as uncharacterized. The record is from RefSeq and is a predicted model, not a curated record. The transcript is spliced from 4 exons. Lineage: Eukaryota; Metazoa; Chordata; Aves; Passeriformes; Viduidae.
UGCUGCAGAAGGACAAGGAAUCCACCAGUAGCUGCAGGGCUGAGCUGCAGCUCAGCAGGGAGGUUGUCCAACACUUUAUUAUCAAUCAGGGCCACAAAAAUCAAUGGAGUUGUGCUGUGGAACCUGUGCUCAUCACGGACAGAAGAAGAGCAGCUGUCAAGGCCCCGUGUAACCAUGAGAUGGAAGAGCUACAGGGAACAGCACCUGCCUGCAGUGACAGCACACCAGGAAACUGCACCAGGGUCUUAACUUUGCAGAUGCCCUCGGAUUUGAAAUCUGGAGCUUGAGCCGUGACAGAGCCGUGCAAAGUCUGCCCACUUUCCCUGAGCUGCAGUUCUGUGAUCCACGUGCAAAUGAGCUCUCAAAUCACUCUCAGACCAUUUGUUCCAACACCUCCACAUCCCCCAACCCCACACGUCCUGUGUGAUAGGUGCAUGUGCAAGAGAAGUGCCCAGCCCUGGAACAAUUAUGUGGAUUAGUGCUUUAAUUGCAUGGCUAAGGCUUGCCAACGGGGUUUGUAGCAACAAUUACACGGAAAGAGUCACAACUAAUGCUGAUAAAGAAAAAAGAUUUUC